Molecule: unclassified non-coding RNA, 350 nt
Filed under: soil metagenome
Description: partial contains 5.8S ribosomal RNA, internal transcribed spacer 2, and large subunit ribosomal RNA
Rfam family: 5.8S ribosomal RNA (bases 1-120)
Source: RNAcentral
GAUGAAGAACGCAGUGAAAUGCGAUAAGUAAUGUGAAUUGCAGAAUUCAGUGAAUCAUCGAAUCUUUGAACGCACAUUGCGCCCGCCAGUAUUCUGGCGGGCAUGCCUGUUCGAGCGUCAUUUCAACCCUCAAGCCCAGCUUGAUGUUGGGGAUCGGCACAGGCGCCCUCGGGCGCCCGCCGUCCCCUAAAUCUAGUGGCGGUCCCGCUGCAGCCUCCUCUGCGUAGUAGUUUUCUCCUCGCAAGGGCAGCUCGGUGGCGACCUCGCCGUAAAACCCCCAACUUCUGAAAGGUUGACCUCGAAUCAGGUAGGAAUACCCGCUGAACUUAAGCAUAUCAAUAAGCGGAGGA